UUAGAAGCAGCUAUUCAUUCAAAGAGUGCGUAAUAGCUCACUAGUAGAGUCACCCUGCGCCGAAAAUGUACCGGGGCUAAAACAAUUUACCGAAGCUGUGGAUAACACAUUAUGUGUGAUGGUAGGAGAGCGUUCUAUGUGUGAAGAAGGUAUACCGUGAGGAGUGCUGGAACGCAUAGAAGUGAGAAUGCCGGUAUGAGUAGCGAAAGAUGGGUGAGAAUCCCAUCCACCGUAAGACUAAGGUUUCCAGGGGAAGGCUCGUCCGCCCUGGGUUAGUCGGGACCUAAGGAGAGACCGAAGGGUGUAUCCGAUGGACAACAGGUUGAUAUUCCUGUACUAGAGUAUGAAGUGAUGGAGGGACGCAGUAGGCUAACUAAAGCGGGCGAUUGGAAGAGCCCGUCUAAGCAG
This 408-nucleotide ribosomal RNA is filed under the name Acinetobacter baumannii. Its description in RNAcentral is "bacterial LSU rRNA". It matches the Rfam family "Bacterial large subunit ribosomal RNA", at positions 1106 to 1519 of the family's 2925-position model. Lineage: Bacteria; Pseudomonadati; Pseudomonadota; Gammaproteobacteria; Moraxellales; Moraxellaceae. The record is from RNAcentral.